AUUGAACGCUGGCGGCAGGCUUAACACAUGCAAGUCGAGCGAGCGGCGGACGGGUUAGUAAUGUCUGGGAAACUGCCUGAUGGAGGGGGAUAACUACUGGAAACGGUAGCUAAUACAGCAUACCAUCAGAUGUGCCCAGAUGGGAUUAGCUAGUGUGUGGGGUAAUGGCUCACCUAGGCGACGAUCCCUAGCUGGUCUGAGAGGAUGAAACGCCAAACUGGAACUGUGACAAGGGCCAGACUACUACGGGAGGCAGCAGUGGUGAAGAGUGCAAAAUGGGCGAAAGCCUGAUGCAGCAAUGCCGGGUGUGUGAAGAAGGCCUUGGGGUUGUAAAGCACUUUCACGGAGGAGGCGUUACUCGCAGAAGAAGCACCGGCUAAAUCCGUGCCAGCGGCCGCGGUAAGAC
This 406-nucleotide ribosomal RNA is filed under the name uncultured bacterium. RNAcentral describes it as "partial 16S ribosomal RNA". It matches the Rfam family "Bacterial small subunit ribosomal RNA", at positions 30 to 526 of the family's 1533-position model. The record is from RNAcentral.